ACGAACGCUGGCGGCGUGCCUAAUACAUGCAAGUCGAACGCUUCUUUCCUCCCGAGUGCUUGCACUCAAUUGGAAAGAGGAGUGGCGGACGGGUGAGUAACACGUGGGUAACCUACCCAUCAGAGGGGGAUAACACUUGGAAACAGGUGCUAAUACCGCAUAACAGUUUAUGCCGCAUGGCAUAAGAGUGAAAGGCGCUUUCGGGUGUCGUUGAUGGAUGGACCCGCGGUGCAUUAGCUAGUUGGUGAGGUAACGGCUCACCAAGGCCACGAUGCAUAGCCGACCUGAGAGGGUGAUCAGCCACACUGGGACUGAGACACGGCCCAGACUCCUACGGGAGGCAGCAGUAGGGAAUCUUCGGCAAUGAACGAAAGUCUGACCGAGCAACGCCGCGUGAGUGAAGAAGGUUUUCGGAUCGUAAAACUCUGUUGUUAGAGAAGAACAAGGACGUUAGUAACUGAACGUCCCCUGACGGUAUCUAACCAGAAAGCCACGGCUAACUACGUG
Molecule: ribosomal RNA, 507 nt
Filed under: uncultured bacterium
Lineage: Bacteria
Description: partial 16S ribosomal RNA
Rfam family: Bacterial small subunit ribosomal RNA
Source: RNAcentral